GUCGGUUUGACCGAGUGGUUAAGGUGCUAGUUUCAGGUACUAGUUUUCGCAAGAAAGCGCAGGUUCGAACCCUGCAGUCGACA
Molecule: non-coding RNA, 83 nt
Organism: Rhabditophanes sp. KR3021
Lineage: Eukaryota; Metazoa; Nematoda; Chromadorea; Rhabditida; Alloionematidae
Source: Rfam